Molecule: long non-coding RNA, 2075 nt
Organism: Lepidothrix coronata (blue-crowned manakin)
Lineage: Eukaryota; Metazoa; Chordata; Aves; Passeriformes; Pipridae
Exons: 6
Source: RefSeq, a predicted model, not a curated record
AGAUACCUUUCUGUGUCUCACAGCAUGUUUGAUGUUCAUUGAGGUCAUGUGUAGCUGCAUGUCCCUCUCCAGGAGCAGAAAGGAGGAGACUAUUGGAUUUUAUUCCUUCGCUAACACUGUCUACCUUUAGAAAGGACAAGCCAUUGCAUUAUGGCCUCAUAUGAAGUCACUAACUUUUGCAUGUCAAGAAUAAAAGAGAAAUUUAUAAACAAAAUGGGAAGCAUGGUUGGGCCAAAUGCAUCUUUGUUAUUAUGACUGAGCUUGCAGGGAAGUUGUGGAGAGAUUCUUUGUUCUGAUUUCUGGUGGAGUAUUCUGGCCCUGGUGUUAUUCCCCCCGCCUGCCCACCAUCUUCCUGAGACCUGGGAGGGAGAGGGAGGUUUUCACAGCCUGAAAUGUUGAUUCUGAAGUGUGAAGGAAACAGAACCACGCUGGAUGAUGUGACUCAUCUUGGAGAAAUCAAACAUUCCCUGAAGUGUGGUAGAAGGCAGGAAGAAUGACACUUGCUAAUUUGAAUUUCAGAAAGCACCUAAACCUCAUUCUGAUCUCCAGAGAUUGUGGAAAACAAUUCAUUAUCUGCUGUCACGAAGAAUCCUGAAAAUUUGAGAACUGUUAUCAAAUCUUCUCCUAGUCUUCCCCCUCCUGGAUUAAGCAAGCUCAGUUCUUGCAAAGUCUUAUGCAGGAUAACUUUUUUUUUCCCCUUGAGUUCACUCUUAUUUCUGUUUUUGGGACUUUCUCCAGCUGGUCGAUGUAUUGUAUCAUACUGACAUGUGAUAACCUGCAGUGAUCACAGGGAUCCAGGUAAAGAAUUACCAGCUCUGAGUAGAAUGGAAGGAAUAUUUUGUGUGCUUAACAUAAAAUGUACUAAUUUCCUCUAAGCCAGCAUGAUUGCUUCUUACGCAACUGUAUGAUUUUAUUGCUUGUUUGUGAUCUAUUCUAAUUGUCAGAUUCUUUUCUACACUGUUUGUGUGGUUAGUCAUUCUCCAUUUUAUAUUUGUUCAGGUAAUUUCACUUGUACAUGUAUCUGUGAAUUAAUUUAAUUGCUUAGCUGGAUUCAGAUUUCUGCUGUUCACCAAGAUAACUUAAAGUGUACAUUCUGUACUCCAAAAGAUUUGAAGUCUUUUUAGCUUAGUGUAUUUUAAAAUGCAAAGAGCAUCUUAAUCAUCUACCAGUUCAUUAAUGAAUAUGUCAUACAGCUUCCUGCAGAACCUGACCUGAUGUGUCUUGCUCAUUUGAAAAUGAAUCAUUGAUAACUAUUGAUGACUAAUUCUGUGAAUGGGAUUUCCCAAAUAACUAUCUUAAAUCUACUUGUCUAUGUGAAUGUCCUGUGAGAUGUCAAAAGCCAGAACAUGCAUGACAGUAUUUAUUCUCCUCUGUCCUUAAAGCAUCUUAUCUACUGUAGAGAGAAAUAAAUUUGCUCUGACAUGAUUUAUUUAUUAAAAUUCAUCUUGUCUCUUACAUACUGGUUAUAUUCAAGAUUCUUAAAAAUAGACCUUUUCAUUAUUUGCUCUGAUAUUUUUCUGGUAAUUGAAGUGAGACUCUCUUCUUUUUGACAUUUUAAAAGUAAGUAAAUAUUUGCUCUUUCUAGUCUUCUGGAAUCUGUACUCCCAAAGUUGCUAAAGAUAAUUGCUAGUGGCUAUAUAUUGUUUUCUGUUUUCUCAGCACUGAAUUACACUUAACCUAGCCAACUUGAAAAUUACAAUAUUAUCUAUGUGAAUUCUACAUAAUUCUUUCACUUUUUUAUCCUGAUUUUCACUCUUCUAUUUGUGAUUUUAAUGAGAUUGACUAUGACAUUAAAACUGAUCUGUAAGCAAAGGCUAAAGCAAAAAGAUCACGGAACACUUUCCAGAUAUAGUGAUAAUGCUGUAACUGUGAUAGCUUAAGAGUAUAAGCAAGCAAAUGCUGUGGGAAAAAGACACUCUCUUUUAUUAAUCCAAUUGAUAUAGCUGGAAAAUAGGCAAACAUCUGUCUCUGGAGCAGGGUUUGUGUUCCUGAAGACUUUUUUUUUUUUUUACUACUUAAUUAGUCUAAUAAUAGAUAUAAGUUCACUUCCCAAAUCCUGUCUUAGAAUCAAUGCU